CCUACGGGAGGCAGCAGUGAGGAAUAUUGGUCAAUGGACGAGAGUCUGAACCAGCCAAGUAGCGUGAAGGAUGACUGCCCUAUGUGUUGUACACUUCUUUUAUAUGGGAAUAAAAUGUUCCACGUGUGGGAUUUUGUAUGUACCAUAUGAAUACGGAUCGGCUAACUCCGUGCAAGCAGCCGCGGUAAUACGGAGGAUCCGAGCGUUAUCCGGAUUUAUGGGGUUUAAAGGGAGCGUAGGUGGAUUGUUAAGUCAGUUGUGAAAGUGUGCGGCUAAACCGUAAAAUUGCAGUUGAAACUGGGAGUCUUGAGUGCAGUAGAGGUGAGCGGAAUUCGUGGUGUAGCGGUGAAAUGCUUAGAUAUCACGAAGAACUCCGAUGGCGAAGGCAGUUCACUGGACUGCAACUGACGCUGAGGCUCGAAAGUGCGGGUAUCAAACAGGAUUAGAUACCCGAGUAGUC
Molecule: ribosomal RNA, 460 nt
Filed under: uncultured bacterium
Lineage: Bacteria
Description: partial 16S ribosomal RNA
Rfam family: Bacterial small subunit ribosomal RNA
Source: RNAcentral